This 402-nucleotide ribosomal RNA is filed under the name uncultured bacterium. RNAcentral describes it as "bacterial SSU rRNA". It matches the Rfam family "Bacterial small subunit ribosomal RNA", at positions 355 to 774 of the family's 1533-position model. The record is from RNAcentral.
UGGGGAAUAUUGGACAAUGGGCGAAAGCCUGAUCCAGCCAUGCCGCGUGAGUGAUGAAGGCCCUAGGGUUGUAAAGCUCUUUCAACGGUGAAGAUAAUGACGGUAACCGUAGAAGAAGCCCCGGCUAACUUCGUGCCAGCAGCCGCGGUAAUACGAAGGGGGCUAGCGUUGUUCGGAAUUACUGGGCGUAAAGCGCACGUAGGCGGAUCGGUCAGUUAGGGGUGAAAUCCCAGGGCUCAACCCUGGAACUGCCUUUAAUACUGCUGAUCUCGAGUCCGGAAGAGGUGAGUGGAAUUCCGAGUGUAGAGGUGAAAUUCGUAGAUAUUCGGAGGAACACCAGUGGCGAAGGCGGCUCACUGGUCCGGUACUGACGCUGAGGUGCGAAAGCGUGGGGAGCAAACA